UACGAAGGGGGCUAGCGUUGUUCGGAAUUACUGGGCGUAAAGGGCGCGUAGGCGGCUUUAUCAGUCAGAUGUGAAAGCCCUGGGCUUAACCCAGGAACUGCAUUUGAUACUGUAGAGCUAGAGGAUGGGAGAGGAUAGUGGAAUUUUCAGUGUAGAGGUGAAAUUCGUAGAUAUUGAAAAGAACACCGGUGGCGAAGGCGGCUAUCUGGACCAUUACUGACGCUGAGGCGCGAAAGCGUGGGGAGCAAACAGG
Molecule: ribosomal RNA, 253 nt
Filed under: uncultured bacterium
Lineage: Bacteria
Description: partial 16S ribosomal RNA
Rfam family: Bacterial small subunit ribosomal RNA
Source: RNAcentral